AUUCACUGGGCGUAAAGCGGGUGUAGGCGGCUCGGUAAGUCGGGUGUGAAAUCCCACGGCUCAACCGUGGAAUUGCGCCCGAAACUGCUGAGCUUGGGGCCGGUAGAGGGAGACGGAACUGCCGGUGUAGGGGUGAAAUCCGUAGAUAUCGGCAGGAACGCCGGUGGGGAAGCCGGUCUCCUGGGCCGCGCCCGACGCUGAGGCCCGAAAGCUAGGGGAGCAAACCGGAUUAGAUACCCGGGUAGUCCUAGCCGUAAACGAUGCCCACUAGGUGUGGGGGAUUAAUUCCUCCGUGCUGUAGCUAACACGUUAAGUGGGCCGCCUGGGGAGUACGCCCGCAAGGGUGAAACUCAAAGGAAUUGGCGGGACCCCGCACAAGCGGUGGAGCGCGUGGUUUAAUUGGAUGCUGAGCCAAGAACCUUACCAGGGCUUGACAUGCAGGUGGACCGACCCGAAAGGGGAGGGCCCCUUUUGGGGAGCCUGCACAGGUGGUGCACGGCCGUCGUCAGCUCGUGCCGUGAGGUGUUGGGUUAAGUCCCGCAACGAGCGCAACCCCUGCCCUUAGUUGCCAACGGUUCGCCGGGCACUCUAAGGGGACUGCCGGCGACGAGCCGGAGGAAGGAGGGGACGACGUCAGGUACUCGUGCCCUUUAUGUCCUGGGCUACACACGCGCUACAAUGGGUGGUACAAUGGGUUGCGACCCCGCGAGGGGGGGCCAAUCCCUAAAACCACCCCCAGUUCGGAUCGCAGGCUGCAACCCGCCUGCGUGAAGCCGGAAUCGCUAGUAAUCGCGGAUCAGCCACGCC
This 807-nucleotide ribosomal RNA is filed under the name uncultured Thermotogae bacterium. RNAcentral describes it as "bacterial SSU rRNA". It matches the Rfam family "Bacterial small subunit ribosomal RNA", at positions 549 to 1358 of the family's 1533-position model. The record is from RNAcentral. Lineage: Bacteria; Thermotogati; Thermotogota; Thermotogae.